Non-coding RNA from Desulfobacteraceae bacterium IS3, 37 nucleotides. NCBI's taxonomy places the organism in Bacteria, Pseudomonadati, Thermodesulfobacteriota, Desulfobacteria, Desulfobacterales, Desulfobacteraceae. The record is from Rfam.
GUCUAAGCGCGACUUCCAUUAAAACAAGGAUUGAAAC